UACGUAGGGGGCAAGCGUUAUCCGGAUUUACUGGGUGUAAAGGGAGCGCAGACGGCAGUGCAAGUCUGGAGUGAAAGCCCGGGGCUCAACCCCGGGACUGCUUUGGAAACUGCAUAGCUGGAGUGCUGGAGAGGUAAGUGGAAUUCCUAGUGUAGCGGUGAAAUGCGUAGAUAUUAGGAGGAACACCAGUGGCGAAGGCGGCUUACUGGACAGUAACUGACGUUGAGGCUCGAAAGCGUGGGGAGCAAACA
Molecule: ribosomal RNA, 251 nt
Filed under: uncultured bacterium
Lineage: Bacteria
Description: partial 16S ribosomal RNA
Rfam family: Bacterial small subunit ribosomal RNA
Source: RNAcentral